RNAcentral lists this ribosomal RNA (433 nucleotides) under uncultured bacterium. RNAcentral's name for it is "partial 16S ribosomal RNA". It matches the Rfam family "Bacterial small subunit ribosomal RNA", at positions 29 to 507 of the family's 1533-position model. The record is from RNAcentral.
AAUGAACGCUGGCGGCAGGCCUAACACAUGCAAGUCGAGCGAAGUCUUCGGACUUAGCGGCGGACGGGUGAGUAACGCGUGGGAACAUGCCCUUUGGUGCGGAAUAGCCCCGCGAAACUGGGAGUAAUACCGCAUGUGCCCUUCGGGGGAAAGAUUUAUCGCCAAUGGAUUGGCCCGCGUUGGAUCAGGUAGUUGGUGGGGUAAUGGCCUACCAAGCCGACGAUCCAUAGCUGGUUUGAGAGGAUGAUCAGCCACACUGGGACUGAGACACGGCCCAGACUCCUACGGGAGGCAGCAGUGGGGAAUCUUAGACAAUGGGCGCAAGCCUGAUCUAGCCAUGCCGCGUGAUCGAUGAAGGCCUUAGGGUUGUAAAGAUCUUUCAGUGGGGAAGAUAAUGACGGUACCCACAGAAGAAGCCCCGGCUAACUCCGUG